GCAGUCACUGAGAACAGUCCCCCCCACCCCAACCAACUUCCCGUUCUGACACACACUUCCUCUUUGUGUGUGUUGAAAAGUACAUCAAACUGAGGGAAAGUCAUGCAUUAAACUUUGAUUAGUUAAUAAAGCAGCAAAAUGAACAGAAAGAAUGAAACAAACUCCUGAGGUGGAAAUAAAUAAACGCUGCUAGGAGACGAGAUGAAGGAGGAGCGCUCGUUUUGUUCCAGCUCCGACCUCAUCAACACUGAUUUCAGUGCAAUGCAUCAUGGAACACUACAGGUGUGUGUGUGUGUGUGUGUGUGUGUGUGUGUGUGUGUGUGUGUGUGUGUGUGUGUGUGUGUGUGUGUGUGUGUGUGUGUAUUUAAUGGAAACAUGCUGCACGGUUAGCGCUCCAGCAGCGAGAAGGGGUGGGGGGGAAGGGUGCCAUGUUGCAUGGUGGGUAAUGUGUUAGUCUCUCUAGCUGGUGUCCAUGGACUCCAUGUUGGCGGAGCUGGAGUCCCUCUGGAUGGAGUCAAAGAUGGCCGCCAGCUCCUGAUUGGACGAGAUCUGCGACUGGAACUCCGACAUCAGCGGCGACUUCUCGGCCUCAGGAAUCGUCAGCAGCGCUACAACAGCUCGCAUCGCCGAGCGUUUCAGCUCAUCCUGCUUCUCGAACUCCUGCUUCACCGAGUUGGCCUUCACCUGCGGAGAAGAGCUCGUUAAGAGGGGGCUUUACGCAUGUGUGUGUGUACCUGUGUGUGUGUGUGUGUGUGUACCUUGGUGGUGCAGGUGGCUCUCAGAGGCUCCACCAGUCGGUCCAGUCUCUGCAGGACGGCGCUCGGACACAGGGAGGAGAGGCGGGCCAGCAUCAGGAACGUCAGCAUCUGGAACACAACAAGCAACAACAACACAUGUUAUUUUUACCCCUUUCUACCAGCUCUGUUAUAUGACUGUUAUAUGAUAGUACUCAUAUUAGUACUGUAUGAUAGUACUCAUAUGAGUACUGUAUGAUAGUACUCAUAUUAGUACUGUAUGAUAGUACUCAUAUUAGUACUGUAUGAUGGGGUAGUGACCUUGAUGUCGUAGUGGUCCUUCAGACCGUCCUCCACGUGGUUGAGGAAGGUGAAGAUAUCGAGGCGGUCAAGGCAGCUGUCCAGCAGAGUGUACAUGCACUCGAACGCAGCCUUCCUGAGAUCCAGCCCAUCAUCCACUGUGUGUUUGAAGGGCCCCAUCUCCACCUGAACACACACACACACACACCUUUUAACACUACUGACUCUUAGUAGUCAUACAAACUUUUUUAAUUUUUGUAAUCGUUGAAGUUAUUCAAUAUUUUCAGAUAUUUUUAAAGAUAUGGUAUUCAUAUAUUUUGCACAUAUUAAUCUGACAUGUGUUGCCUUCUUCUGUCCCAUUUUAAUACUCAUUUUUGACUAGAAACCUAUUCAUAUCUUUCACAGAAUUCUUUGGACAUUUUGUUUUACUUUUACUUCAUAUUCUUUUUGACAUUUUGCAAAUAUUUCUGAGACGGUUUUCUUUCAAACUUCAAUUCAUAAACUUAACAUAUUAUUUUAGACAAUUUAAAUAUAUUAUCUGCACAUUUUUCUGCCUUUUUCAUUUAAACAUAUUUUGGGACAAGUUUUUAGACUUCCUUCCUAAAGGCUCUCAGUGUAUAAUCCGUCCCUCCUCACCUCUCUGAUGAGCUCCUUCCGGACUUUGGUCUCGUUGUAAAGCUGCGGCAGCACCGAGUCCAGCAGCUCUCGGAUCAGACUCGGCUUGUUGUGCGCCGCCGAGUUAAACGUUACCAAGGCGACGCGCCGCACGUUCAGGUCCGGGUCCUCCAGCGUCUUCAGGAAGUCCCCUGAGAACAAUCAGAUGUCUCAUAUUUAUAUUAAACAAGGAUUCAGAGUCAUGCAGAAGAGAAGACAUCAUGAAGGAGGACUGCAGGUGUACCUAUGCAGUUCUUCAGCAGCGGGUCGAUGGGCUGCGGUUGGUCUGAGAUGGUGAAUUUUACCGCCGUCACCACCGAGCUGCGGGCGUACGAUGAACCUGAGCAGACACAUGGUUAUUAUAAUAAACAACCAUGUCAAAUAAAAGGUAAAUAAGGCUCAGUGGGGCGGGGGUCGUCUCACCUGAGAGCAGGUAUCCCUUGAGGCGCGGCAGCAGCGUCUCCGGGUCGAUCAGCGUCAGCUUCCCCAGACACUCGGCCACCACGUUCCUGGUUCCCUCCUCCGAACACUCGCAGUGCUUCAGCAGCAGCGUCCACACGGCCUCCACGUACGGCUUCAGCCCCGACACCGACGCAGAGCCUGCAGAGAAUAUACACUUAGUGACGUUUAGUUUUAUGGUAACCCUCUUUUAGUUUAUGCUGUAUUUUUGUAACAGUUCCUUCAAACAGGGAAUGGGAAUGAGUCAUCUUCAAAAGCAGGUCGGCCAUCUUUGGAGGAUACCAGCAGACGCAACCCUCACAUGGAAAGUUUACGAGCUCUGAUAUUGCUAUAUUGCUUUUUUUACAGAUUUUAUUAAGAGUUUUUACGAGUAUUUUAACUAAUUUAAAAAAAUGUUCUAUUUGUUUUUUAUCUAGUGUGUAUCAACAGAGUGUGUGUAUAUUGAUAGUGUGUGUCCUCACUGAUGAUCUCUUUGAGGGAGUGCAGCAGCAGGUAUUGUCUCUUAGAGGAAGUGAUCUCCUGCAGGACGAAGGGCAGAUACUCCGGAAGAUUCCCCACCGCAAUGCUGCCCAGCGCGUACGACGCCGCAGACUUCACCUGAAACACACACACACACACACACACGGGUUAACACACACCGGCAUGCUGCUAGCCGUAGCAGGCAGCCUAUUGUCACUUCCUGUCACCUCUUCGCUGGAGGAGGAGAAGGCGUCCAGGAUGACGGUCUUGAGCUCUGGUUGGCUGCUGAGGUCCACAUGAUGUCCCACCUCGCCCAAUGAGAGCAGAGCGAGCAGCCGGAUGGAGUCCGUGGAGCGACUGUUCUUCACGUCCUGAAGAAACAGAGAGAUAUAUCAAUAACAAAUUAUUACUUUCAUUAUUUUAUAUUUAGCAUUUUUGUAAUUAGUGUUUUUUUUUUUACUAGAUUUUACAAAUGACAGAAUAUUUAGUAUGAAUAUUCAAUGCCUUCUCAAUUAUAUUAUAUGUAAACACAGGUGUGUUUGUGUACCUGUAUGAACUGCCCCACCACAGCCGGCCCCUCGUCAGGACAGGCUCGGGUCAGAGCGGCGACACACUUGGCGAUGGAGCAGUACGCCUGCUUGUGAGGCAGUGCGGCACUCUGGGAGUAAACCGGACCCGUCAGCAUCCUCAGGAGGUCCAUGUAGCCGAGGCCGGGGGUCUCUGUGGACACCAGCGCCUACACACACACACACACACACACACACACACACACACACACACACAUUAUAUCCCAACAGCUGUGAUAAUGAUUUCUGAAGGAAAUCCUAAAUGAAUACGUAAAAGUACGUUUAGUAUUUCUAAACAAAAAGGUGAUUUUUGGAAGUUCUAAAUAAAUAGAGAAAAAACAGAAAAGAGGAAAUUAUUAUUAAAAUAUAAAAGGUAAUCUAAAGAAUAUAAUAAAAAGAUAGGAAUAUUAUUUAUAAAUUAAAAAGUAUAUAGCAUAUUUACUUUGCCAAACAGAGAAAUAAAUCAAAAAUAAUUAUUAUAAAAAGAAAUAAAGGAUUUAAGGUUAGGGUUAGGGUUACCUGGUAGAAUUCGAGCAUGGCGGACAGCGCCCCCCCCCUGCAGCAGCGGGGACCUGACCAGAGCGAUGAGCUGCUGCAGGAUGUUCCCCCCGGUCAGCUGACCCAGGGAGGAGGGGUGGGUGACGGCGAGCGUCGAUAGGAAGCUGAGCGCCAUCUGAGACACGUGCAUGUCGCUCUCUGAGAUGAGGGGGGGCAGCUCGGCCAGCACCGCGUCCACCAUCACCGGGGUCACCGCCGAGCUGAAGGGGGGUGGAUAUAUAAAGUCAGCUUUUUAAAAUAUUUUACAGAAGUAUUUCUUUUUACUUUUGAAUAAUAAUUUGUUCUUUUUAACUUUUUGUUUUGUUUUUCUGGAGAUUGUUUCCUACGUGCUCCACUGGGUAUGUUGCAUCUGUAAACAUUUACUAGUUGGGAAAUAUAAAACAUUGAUUUGGUAUUUUUUUAUAUUUCCUUCUUAUCA
Eleginops maclovinus (Patagonian blennie) is the source of this 4148-nucleotide long non-coding RNA. RefSeq lists it as uncharacterized. Lineage: Eukaryota; Metazoa; Chordata; Actinopteri; Perciformes; Eleginopidae. The transcript is spliced from 3 exons. The record is from RefSeq and is a predicted model, not a curated record.